AUCGAGCGACAAGUACAACGACUAGCAACCAAGCUCAACAUCAACAAGCAACCCAUGGUCUUCAACAUUGGUGAUCUAGUGUGGCUACACCUUCGCAAGGACCGCUUCCCCAACGAACGCAAGUCCAAGCUUCUCCCUCGAGCCGAUGGACCUUUCAAGGUGCUAGCACGCUACAACGACAAUGCCUACAAGAUCGACCUACCUCGAGACAAGUACAAUGUGAGCGACAUCUUCAACGUCAAGGACCUCGCACCUUACCAUGGAGAUGAAGUUUUUGAUCCGAGGUCGGAUCUCUCC
RNAcentral lists this ribosomal RNA (297 nucleotides) under Triticum aestivum (bread wheat). RNAcentral describes it as "partial small subunit ribosomal RNA". Lineage: Eukaryota; Viridiplantae; Streptophyta; Magnoliopsida; Poales; Poaceae. The record is from RNAcentral.